UCUGAUAUGGCAGAAUAGUGCAAUAGGUUUAAGCUCUAUAUAUAAAGGUCAACUUUUAUUAGAA
RNAcentral lists this transfer RNA (64 nucleotides) under Ramulus mikado. RNAcentral describes it as "tRNA-Leu". It matches the Rfam family "tRNA". From Rfam's summary of the family: Transfer RNA (tRNA) molecules are approximately 80 nucleotides in length. Their secondary structure includes four short double-helical elements and three loops (D, anti-codon, and T loops). Lineage: Eukaryota; Metazoa; Arthropoda; Insecta; Phasmatodea; Phasmatidae. The record is from RNAcentral.